GACGAACGCUGGCGGCGUGCUUAACACAUGCAAGUCGAACGGAAAGGCCCUGCAUUUGUGGGGUGCUCGAGUGGCGAACGGGUGAGUAACACGUGAGUAACCUGCCCUUGACUUUGGGAUAACUUCAGGAAACUGGGGCUAAUACCGGAUAGGAGCUCCUGCUGCAUGGUGGGGGUUGGAAAGUUUCGGCGGUUGGGGAUGGACUCGCGGCUUAUCAGCUUGUUGGUGGGGUAGUGGCUUACCAAGGCUUUGACGGGUAGCCGGCCUGAGAGGGUGACCGGCCACAUUGGGACUGGGAUACGGCCCAGACUCCUACGGGAGGCAGCAGUGGGGAAUAUUGCACAAUGGGCGGAAGCCUGAUGCAGCAACGCCGCGUGCGGGAUGACGGCCUUCGGGUUGUAAACCGCUUUCGCCUGUGACGAAGCGUGAGUGACGGUAAUGGGUAAAGAAGCACCGGCUAACUACGUG
RNAcentral lists this ribosomal RNA (468 nucleotides) under uncultured bacterium. Its description in RNAcentral is "partial 16S ribosomal RNA". It matches the Rfam family "Bacterial small subunit ribosomal RNA", at positions 28 to 507 of the family's 1533-position model. The record is from RNAcentral.